CUCCUGUAGCCAGAGAUCACAGGUCUUCCCUGUGAAACUUUGGUUUCUUUCUAUAAAUGUGUGUGGUUUUCAGCGCUCAACUCCUGUCUUCAAAUGGUACAUUCAUAAAAUUGCACUAGGAUGCAGGAAGGGAGCUGCAGUCAUCAAAUGAGUUUGACUUUGGAGCCUCAAAACAGGAUGAUUCGAGCUGAUUGCAUGAGCAAACAACAAAGAUCUGGGAGGCAGAUGCGUGCUGGCCCUCACUGGACACCGCUUCGCAGUUUGAUCUGGUCAAGCCUGGCCCCAGUUUCUUCACUAGGUGAUGCCAUUAGAAGGCAGGACGUUUGGGAGGUGAUUAGUUCAUGAAUGUGGAGCCCUGGUGAAUGGGAUUAGUUCCCUUAUGAAAAAGAGACCCUGGAAAACUCUCACCCUCCUACCAUGUGAGGACACAGUGAGAUGGCGGCACUAUGAACGAGAAGGCAUGUCCUCAUCAGAAGAUGGAGGGAGCCUCCCUGCCAAAAGAGUCUCCGCCUGGAGUUGAAAGACCCACACUGCUCCUCACUGAUGUGCUCUCAGUCUCCUCAUCUGUAAAAUGGGGACAAUCAAAUCACACCUGUGCUGCCCACCUCAGGAUCACUGCUGUGAAGACCGAGCAACAUGAUACAUGUGAAAGAGGGGCAAAAUGGCCACGUCCUCCACAUGUAAAAGCCAUGCUGACUUUGCAGACGUCUUGCCAUUCUAUUCUAAUUUGGGCACCAGCUCUUUAUUAAAGUUUUAUUUUUAUACCUUCUGUGUUUCCUCUAAAUGCCUCAGAUUCUCUGGGGAACCAGCUGGCAUUUACUUCCAUGUAUACCUCCAUAAAAGUUUACAUGGAACUUAAAUGAAAACUUACAUGCAUAUAUCAUUCAUAUGUAGAUAUAUGUAUGUAUACACACGUAAUUUUUAUAUAUACAUAAAAUUUCUUCUCUGUACUACAUUUAAAGGGCUUCUUGUUAAAGUGGAUGAGAUGUUUGCACAAUCAGUUUAAAAGAUUAUUAUUUAAAAACGGAAAUUGCCCAAGGCAGACAACUGGAAAUCAUUCCUCACUGCAACUCAAAUGGAGGAAGUCGUCUAAUUCUUGGGAAUUUAGACACUCGUCUAGUAAUGUAGCACAAAAAUGGGCCUGGCUCAAUCUGCUCUUCACAUUUUGGUAAUUUAAAAGGACAUAACGGAAUUUUAUUUUAAUGGUAAUUGCAAACUCAUGCAGAAAAUGUAAAUGCACAUUUCAUGAUUAGCUUGCAGCAUAAACUAUGGC
Molecule: long non-coding RNA, 1273 nt
Organism: Papio anubis (olive baboon)
Lineage: Eukaryota; Metazoa; Chordata; Mammalia; Primates; Cercopithecidae
Source: Ensembl